Molecule: unclassified non-coding RNA, 564 nt
Filed under: Lenophyllum acutifolium
Lineage: Eukaryota; Viridiplantae; Streptophyta; Magnoliopsida; Saxifragales; Crassulaceae
Description: partial external transcribed spacer and 18S ribosomal RNA
Rfam family: Eukaryotic small subunit ribosomal RNA (bases 508-564)
Source: RNAcentral
GGCGGCCUUUUAGCCACUGCUGAUAAGUCGAUAUGAUUUUAAGUUGGGAGUUUGCUAAAUAAAGGUUAGAUCGACGGCGUUUUGGUUAGAUCGACGCGUUGGCGUGUGAGUGGCUUGAUUAAUGUUUGUGUUGGCUGGCUCCCUGCUUGCGCAGCGAACUGUCAGCGCAUUCAUAUUUCAAUUGAGACGGAGUGUUGCCUUUUGGAUUUUUGUGUUGCUUACCCAAUCGAUGGAAUUCUUAUAACCUUGUUGCGUGGCUUUGCCAACACCCCCCGAGGUGCUAGGCGGACGUUGAAGCUGCCCUUAUUUGCGCCAUGCUCUCCCUUUUACGGGAACCAUGGAAAAUUGGCGGUGUCGCUUGUUGCCUCGGAUGCAUAGCACGAAGCGAGCAUGACGCCCGUCGUCAUCGCUCAUUCGGAGCUCUCGAUUGCUCGGAAAGAGAGACCGCCGCGCUUGGCUUCGCUUGCUGACCCAAGUCGAAUCCUUGCCGGCGUCCUCAAUGAAUGCUACCUGGUUGAUCCUGCCAGUAGUCAUAUGCUUGUCUCAAAGAUUAAGCCAUGCAUG